CUUCAUUGAACAUACAAACCACACCGUUUCUUAAUAAUAUUUCCAAAGAAUAAUGGAAUGUAUCGUGAUUACAAUUGUAUUUUAAAUGGAGGAGACAUUUGCUCAAACAGCUGGACUUCCUGGUACAAAAAAGGCAAAAAGCUAACGUGCAGAGUCAACUCCCCCCGCCGGUCUUCACCAAAUGGUUCAGUCCAGCGUCACCAAUGACAUGGGUCAGUUCUGCGCAUGUGCACCGAGUGGUUGCAGACGUCACCACUGAAGCUGUCAGAGCGGUCCUUUUUUUUUUCAUUUCAGGUCAACUUUAUUGACAAGCCGUAAAGUUUCAAAACAAUGCGUGUGACGCGAAUCUCAGCGUGAUUACGUGCUGUGGCACGUUAUAAAAACUGCUCCACCCACCACCGAGUCCAAGUGUGUCAGGCACAGCGUCACUGGCGACCCCUGGUGGCAGCUCAGUUGCAUCAUCAUCAUCAAUCCACUUUCUCCAGAAAAUUCCACCCCAACAACAAUGACACAGAGAAGGACACAAACACACUGCUGGAGAGGAAAGAAGUCAACAACCAGCAGGAAGAGUUUGUGAGACACAACUCACACUGUGGUUUAGUUCAGCUUCAGGAUCUCACAUGAGGAGGACGAGGACCAGACACAAACUCCAGCGUGUAGAGGCUGAGUGAAGGUGGUGUGGACUCUGUGGAGGAGGGUCAUGGUUUCAGAGACGCUGUAGAAGGACAGAAGACCUGCAGAGUGAUCCAGACAACAACAACUGUGAGUGAGCAGUGUUUGGAUCCAGAGUGAUGUCCCGUGAGAACCUGAGGAACUCAGCUCUGGUCUUGGGCUCUGGCGCGAGCAUGAGUGAGAUGUUGGUGCAGGUGUCUCUCAGAAGGUCCUGGAGUCGCUCUCUGCUGGCUGACACGGCUGCUGCCACUUCCUCAAAGCAGCAGUGAGGACGGACGUGGGUCCUGGAGG
Long non-coding RNA from Synchiropus splendidus (mandarinfish), 963 nucleotides. RefSeq lists it as uncharacterized. The record is from RefSeq and is a predicted model, not a curated record. Lineage: Eukaryota; Metazoa; Chordata; Actinopteri; Syngnathiformes; Callionymidae. The transcript has 3 exons.